ACUAUGGGCAGAAGGAAUAUCACUCACGUGUCUGACUUCAUCCUCAUGGGACUGACAGACUCUGAAGCGAUCCAGCUGAUCCUCUUCACCCUUUCUCCUGAUAUACCUGAUCACUGUGCUGGGCAAUGCAGGAAUGAUGUUGAUAAUCUGCCUCAAUCUCCAUCCUCACACCCCCAUGUAUUUUUUCCUCAGUCACCUGUCAUUUCUUGACCUCAGUUUCUCAACAGCUGUCACCCCUAAAACUUUAGACAACUUAGUGACUUCCAACAGGUAUAUUUCAUACCUUAACUGCUUCAUCCAGAUGAAUUGUUUUGUCUUCGUGGUGUCACUGAAUGUGUUCUUCUCUCAUCCAUGGCCUAUGAUUGCUAUGUAGCCAUCUGCAACCCUCUGCAUUACCCAGCUAUUAUGUCCACCAGACGUUGCUGCUCUCUUAUCUUUAUUGGCUUCAUGGACACCUUUGUCAAUGUGCUUUUCUUGAGCAGGUUGCAUUUCUGUGACUCUAGUUUUUUUUUCUGUGAUGCAACCCCAAUUUUAGCCCUGUCCUGCACUGACACACAUUAUAUCGAAAUCACAAUAUCCAUUUCUGCUGGCUCAACCCUAGUGUGUCUCUUUUCACAAUAUCUGUGUCCUAUGCGUCCAUCCUGUACACUGUCCUGAAAAUUACUUCCACUUCAGGGAAGCAAAAAGCCUUCUCUACCUGUGCCUCCCAUCUCCUGUCAUUCACCAUCUUUUACGGUACUACAAUUUUACUUACAUAAAACCAAGUAAGCCCUACUCUUUGGGAAAGGAUCAAGUGGCUUCUGUUUUUUAUAGCAUUGUCAUCCCCUUGCUGAAUCCGCUCAUAUACAGUCUUUGA
RNAcentral lists this long non-coding RNA (856 nucleotides) under Bos taurus (domestic cattle). Its description in RNAcentral is "long non-coding RNA NONBTAT004892". Lineage: Eukaryota; Metazoa; Chordata; Mammalia; Artiodactyla; Bovidae. The record is from RNAcentral.